RNAcentral lists this transfer RNA (67 nucleotides) under Plodia interpunctella (Indianmeal moth). Its description in RNAcentral is "tRNA-Cys". Lineage: Eukaryota; Metazoa; Arthropoda; Insecta; Lepidoptera; Pyralidae. The record is from RNAcentral.
AGUCUUAUAUUCAUAUAAUGAUAUAAAAUUGCAAAUUUUAAGGAAUAAAUAUAAUUUAUUAAGGCUU